GGACCAUUAGCUCAGUUGGUUAAAGCCAACCGCUCAUAACGGUUAGGUCACAGGUUCGAGUCCCGUAUGGUCCA
This 74-nucleotide transfer RNA is filed under the name Enterococcus faecalis. RNAcentral describes it as "tRNA-Met". It matches the Rfam family "tRNA". Rfam says of the family: Transfer RNA (tRNA) molecules are approximately 80 nucleotides in length. Their secondary structure includes four short double-helical elements and three loops (D, anti-codon, and T loops). Lineage: Bacteria; Bacillati; Bacillota; Bacilli; Lactobacillales; Enterococcaceae. The record is from RNAcentral.